Molecule: ribosomal RNA, 433 nt
Filed under: uncultured bacterium
Lineage: Bacteria
Description: partial 16S ribosomal RNA
Rfam family: Bacterial small subunit ribosomal RNA
Source: RNAcentral
AACGAACGCUGGCGGCAUGCCUAACACAUGCAAGUCGAACGAGACCUUCGGGUCUAGUGGCGCACGGGUGCGUAACGCGUGGGAACCUGCCCUUAGGUUCGGAAUAACUCCCCGAAAGGGGUGCUAAUACCGGAUAAUGUCUUCGGACCAAAGAUUUAUCGCCUUUGGAUGGGCCCGCGUUGGAUUAGCUAGUUGGUAGGGUAAAAGCCUACCAAGGCGACGAUCCAUAGCUGGUCUGAGAGGAUGAUCAGCCACACUGGGACUGAGACACGGCCCAGACUCCUACGGGAGGAAGCAGUGGGGAAUAUUGGACAAGGGGCGAAAGCCUGAUCCAGAAAUGCCGAGUGAGUGAUGAAGGCCUUAGGGUUGUAAAGCUCUUUUACCCGGGAUGAUAAUGACAGUACCGGGAGAAUAAGCUCCGGCUAACUCCGUG